UGGGGAAUAUUGCACAAUGGGCGAAAGCCUGAUGCAGCGACGCCGCGUGAGGGAUGAAGGCCUUCGGGUUGUAAACCUCUUUCAGCAGGGAAGAAGCGCAAGUGACGGUACCUGCAGAAGAAGCGCCGGCUAACUACGUGCCAGCAGCCGCGGUAAUACGUAGGGCGCAAGCGUUGUCCGGAAUUAUUGGGCGUAAAGAGCUCGUAGGCGGUUUGUCGCGUCUGGUGUGAAAACUCGAGGCUCAACCUCGAGCUUGCAUCGGGUACGGGCAGACUAGAGUGCGGUAGGGGAGACUGGAAUUCCUGGUGUAGCGGUGGAAUGCGCAGAUAUCAGGAGGAACACCGAUGGCGAAGGCAGGUCUCUGGGCCACAACUGACGCUGAGGAGCGAAAGCAUGGGGAGCGAACA
This 407-nucleotide ribosomal RNA is filed under the name uncultured bacterium. Its description in RNAcentral is "partial 16S ribosomal RNA". It matches the Rfam family "Bacterial small subunit ribosomal RNA", at positions 355 to 774 of the family's 1533-position model. The record is from RNAcentral.